Molecule: small RNA, 29 nt
Filed under: Bombyx mori (domestic silkworm)
Lineage: Eukaryota; Metazoa; Arthropoda; Insecta; Lepidoptera; Bombycidae
Description: ovarian small RNA-9245
Source: RNAcentral
UGUUUGAGUGGCACAGGGAAAACACCCUU